AGUGAACGCUGGCGGCAGGCCUAAUACAUGCAAGUCGAGCGGCAGCACAGCAGAGCUUGCUCUGUGGGUGGCGAGUGGCGGACGGGUGAGGAAUACGUGGGAAUCUGCCCAGUCGUGGGGGAUAACGUAGGGAAACUUACGCUAAUACCGCAUGCGCCCUUCGGGGAAAGCCGGGGACCUUCGGGCCUGGCGCGAUUGGAUGAGCCCACGUCGGAUUAGCUAGUUGGCGGGGUAAAGGCCCACCAAGGCGACGAUCCGUAGCUGGUCUGAGAGGAUGAUCAGCCACACUGGAACUGAGACACGGUCCAGACUCCUACGGGAGGCAGCAGUAGGGAAUAUUGGACAAUGGGCGCAAGCCUGAUCCAGCCAUGCCGCGUGAGUGAAGAAGGCCCUCGGGUUGUAAAGCUCUUUUGUCCGGAAAGAAAAGCGCCGGGUUAAUACCCCUGGUGUCCUGACGGUACCGGAAGAAUAAGCACCGGCUAACUUCGUGCCAGCAGCCGCGGUAAU
Molecule: ribosomal RNA, 507 nt
Filed under: uncultured bacterium
Lineage: Bacteria
Description: bacterial SSU rRNA
Rfam family: Bacterial small subunit ribosomal RNA
Source: RNAcentral